Molecule: ribosomal RNA, 504 nt
Filed under: uncultured bacterium
Lineage: Bacteria
Description: partial 16S ribosomal RNA
Rfam family: Bacterial small subunit ribosomal RNA
Source: RNAcentral
AUUGAACGCUGGCGGCAUGCCUUACACAUGCAAGUCGAACGGCAGCAUGGAGAGCUUGCUCUCUGAUGGCGAGUGGCGAACGGGUGAGUAAUGCAUCGGAACGUACCGUGUAAUGGGGGAUAACGUAGCGAAAGUUACGCUAAUACCGCAUACGACCUGAGGGUGAAAGCAGGGGAUCGCAAGACCUUGCGUUAUACGAGCGGCCGAUGUCAGAUUAGCUAGUUGGUGAGGUAAAGGCUCACCAAGGCGACGAUCUGUAGCGGGUCUGAGAGGAUGAUGCGCCACACUGGGACUGAGACACGGCCCAGACUCCUACGGGAGGCAGCAGUGGGGAAUUUUGGACAAUGGGGGCAACCCUGAUCCAGCAAUGCCGCGUGUGCGAAGAAGGCCUUCGGGUUGUAAAGCACUUUUGUCAGGGAAGAAAUCUUUCAGGCUAAUACUCUGUGUGGAUGACGGUACCGGCAUAAGAAGCACCGGCUAACUACGUGCCAGCAGCCGCCGUAA